AUGAUUGUAUCUAAUUCCAGGAGAAAGGAACAAAAGAGCCAGUGUACAGUGCCAAGUAGCAGGAGGUCAAAAGGGGCCAAACCAAUCCAGAGUCUUCUAGAACUCACUCCUAAAAAUGCAUCAUGGAUGCCUUUGCAGAGGAUUAUAUAAAAGGAGUCACUUCUGUGACAAAGGCUGGCACUAAAGAAAAAGUGCCAGGCUGAAGAGUGUGUGGAACUGAUCACCGCAACAGGGGAGGGACCCCAGGAGAUUGGAAUUGAGGAGCAGAAGAUUCUGGCUAAAGAUCAGUUGGUCACUCAGUGGAGAGAAGGUGGAAAGAGAAGGUAGAAUAAGACAUUCCCCUGAGGGUUACCCACUUUUCCUGCUUGUGCCUAGAAAUCCUCCCCCGCAACAUUUGCAAAUUGAAGACUCACUGAAGAGAAAACCUGAGAAAAGGCAUUUUGAAUCUCUGUAAGACUUUAUGUCAGCUCCUGUUGUCCUGGGUCUGUAAUAUGGCCAAGGGGCCAAACCCAGGGUCAGCUAACCUGACUUUCUCUCAGGGGGCUCAAGCUGCCAAAGCCUAAGUUCCCCCCAGACUCAAGGAGGGAGGGAAAAGGGUUUUAGAUAGACAGGGACCCCCUUUUUCCCACUUUCCUCUCCCAUUCUUUUUCCUGCCAGUUAUUCCUCUGUAUUAUCUUGAUUGAGUUAAUUGCCAUUAGAGUAGUUAUUUUUUUCCCAAGUGGUGAAUCAAGUGAGAAUGAACAGAUCAAGGGGAAAAGACAUCUUCCUAGGAAGAAACCCUUUGGUCUCGAGUAGUGGAGGGGGGACAAGAGGGACAAGAGCAAAUCUGGAAGAGCAGCCAUAGCUAAAAAGGGAAGGCAAAAGGGGAAAGAUCUUGAAACCCCCUCUCCUCUCUCUGAGCCAACCUUAAACAUCUGCUGUCUCCCCUGAACCCAGCUUUGAGAAGGGAGGUCUCCACUCUUCCCCUCUCUCAUUUCAUUACACUUCAUCAGAUGUUAAUUAUAAGCAAGAAAUUAUUUUUCAUCAAUCAGUUAAUAAGCAUUUAUUAAAUGCCUAUUAAGGAGAAACAAAGUAUCAAAGAGCAGAAGCCUCCUUCACCAUAUAGACAUUUGGCAUUGGAGCAAAGUAUAGACUAGAUAUAUUGCUAUGGCUUUAGAGAAGAUUGUAAUUUAGUAUUAACUAAUUACUAGUCUUAAUAUAAGAAUGACAUAAGGAUCUUAACUACAUAGCCACAACUCUUUCCUCCAUCUGUAAAGUGGAAAUAUUAUAGACCUUGUCCUCCCUCCUUCUUAUAUUAGAAGGGUUCAAUUAAGAUCAUAAAAUCACAAAAUCUUAGAGAUGGAAAAGUCUUCAAAGAUCAUCUUGUCUAAUCCAUGCCUAAAGUACGUUCUCGCCAAAAUACUUCCAAUAAAUGAUCAUGAUAUCUGGCUGAAGAUCUUCA
This 1441-nucleotide long non-coding RNA is filed under the name Monodelphis domestica (gray short-tailed opossum). Its description in RNAcentral is "lncRNA (ENSMODG00000047842.1)". Lineage: Eukaryota; Metazoa; Chordata; Mammalia; Didelphimorphia; Didelphidae. The record is from RNAcentral.